AAAACUCCCUUGACGGUACUUAAUGAAUAAGCCCCGGCUAAUUAUGUGCCAGCAGCCGCGGUAAUACAUAAGGGGCGAGCGUUAUCCGGAAUUAUUGGGCGUAAAGGGUGCGUAGGCGGUUUAAUAAGUCUAUAGUUUAAUUUCAGUGCUUAACGCUGUUGUGCUAUAGAAACUGUUUUACUAGAGUGAGUUAGAGGCAAGCGGAAUUCCAUGUGUAGCGGUAAAAUGCGUAAAUAUAUGGAGGAACACCAGAGGCGUAGGCGGCUUGCUGGGACUUUACUGACGCUGAGGCACGAAAGCGUGGGGAGCAAACAGGAUUAGAUACCCUGGUAGUCCACACCGUAAACGAUGAGUACUAAGUGUCGGGUAAAACCGGUACUGAAGUUAACACAUUAAGUACUCCGCCUGAGUAGUACGUACGCAAGUAUGAAACUUAAAGGAAUUGACGGGACUCCGCACAAGCGGUGGAUCAUGUUGUUUAAUUCGAAGAUACACGAAAAACCUUACCAGGUCUUGACAUUUUCUUGCGAAGUUAUAGAAAUAUAAUGGAGGUUAUCAGGAAAACAGGUGGUGCAUGGUUGUCGUCAGCUCGUGUCGUGAGAUGUUAGGUUAAGUCCUAAAACGAGCGCAACCCUUGUCGUUAAUUGCCAGCAUGUAAUGAUGGGGACUUUAACGAGACUGCCAAUGAAAAAUUGGAGGAAGGUGGGGAUUACGUCAAAUCAUCAUGCCCCUUAUGAUCUGGGCUACAAACGUGAUACAAUGGUUGAUACAAAGAGUAGCUGAAACGCGAGUUCUUAGCCAAUCUCACAAAAUCAAUCUCAGUUCGGAUUGAAGUC
RNAcentral lists this ribosomal RNA (836 nucleotides) under Cassava frogskin disease phytoplasma. RNAcentral describes it as "bacterial SSU rRNA". It matches the Rfam family "Bacterial small subunit ribosomal RNA", at positions 460 to 1305 of the family's 1533-position model. The record is from RNAcentral. Lineage: Bacteria; Bacillati; Mycoplasmatota; Mollicutes; Acholeplasmatales; Acholeplasmataceae.